GAUGAACGCUAGCGAUAGGCUUAACACAUGCAAGUCGAGGGGCAGCACAAGGUAGCUUGCUAUCUGGGUGGCGACCGGCGCACGGGUGCGUAACGCGUAUGCAACUUGCCCUAUACAGGAGGAUAACCGUCGAAAGACGGACUAAUACUGCGUAUGCUCACAACUUGGCAUCAAGUGGUGAGGAAAGAAAUUCGGUAUAGGAUAGGCAUGCGUCCCAUUAGCUUGUUGGUGAGGUAACGGCUCACCAAGGCAACGAUGGGUAGGGGAACUGAGAGGUUUAUCCCCCACACUGGUACUGAGACACGGACCAGACUCCUACGGGAGGCAGCAGUGAGGAAUAUUGGUCAAUGGGCGCGAGCCUGAACCAGCCAAGUCGCGUGAAGGAUGACUGUCUUAUGGAUUGUAAACUUCUUUUAUACGGGAAUAACAAGAGUCACGUGUGACUCCCUGCAUGUACCGUAUGAAUAAGCAUCGGCUAACUCCGU
This 485-nucleotide ribosomal RNA is filed under the name uncultured bacterium. Its description in RNAcentral is "partial 16S ribosomal RNA". It matches the Rfam family "Bacterial small subunit ribosomal RNA", at positions 28 to 506 of the family's 1533-position model. The record is from RNAcentral.